Molecule: long non-coding RNA, 324 nt
Filed under: Salvia miltiorrhiza (redroot sage)
Lineage: Eukaryota; Viridiplantae; Streptophyta; Magnoliopsida; Lamiales; Lamiaceae
Description: long non-coding RNA (SMIL_LNC012828)
Source: RNAcentral
UUAUUGCUUUCUUUUAUCUCUGUUUUAUCUGCAACUGUAUAGAUAUGUUUGUUGGAUACGGUAAAUUGACUAGGUCAAACUUUCUGGAUUGACCGCACAAUUUGCGUUUGGUGCUAAGGCUAGAUAGGAUUGAUUAUGUCUUAGAGAAAUCAAUCCACAUCAUCCUUAAUGUGACUUUAGAAACUUUCAAAAUGUUUGACAUUGAAAGUUAUAAGAAACAUAUGGAUGAUGUAACUUCUGCUAAAUGUGUCAUGUUUGUGUCUAUGAGUUUGGAACUGCAUAAACAACGUGAUCACAUGUUUUCGAUUGAGAUAUUGAUACACC